UCAAGGUUCCUGCAAAUGGUGUUGAAAACUAUUGGCCAGUAAACACAAAUUAAACCCAUUUAAUUACAUCUUGAAUCUUCACCAGUAGAAAAAAGAUGGCAGUACUUUUAAUGCAAGCAGCUACUAAGGAAGAUUAAAUGAAGGAAGAUCAGGAAAUGGAGAAAAAGCUGAAGAACAAGGAGGACAAGAUGAAGAAAGAACAAGGGCACAGUGACUUGCAGUGUGUGUACAUGUAACAUUAUUACAACAACUAUAUCAUGGGUCCAUAAUUUUGAGUAAGUCAUUCAUCAAGUACUUUAUAUGUACUGGAAACCAUUUCUGAGGGGGAUAAAGUGAUGGAAGAUAAUGAGCCGGAGGGUGGAAUGGAAGAGAAAGGGAAAGAGAUAAAGAAAAAGGCAGAAUGAAAAAGGACUAGAUCAUGACAAGGAGCACACAGCGAAUGUGACUGAUCGGCAGAGGAUGUUUACUCCUAUAUUGCACCUGAUCCCACCUCUGAUGUUUUUAUAGAACUUGCAAUAGAAGAAAAAGUUUAGGGAAAUUAAGAGGAAGAAAUUGAAGAUGAAAAGAAGAGCUCUGGGAGGAAAAAAUUCCAUUUGUUAAGAAUGUGUGGACAAAAGAAAAAUAGCCAUAGCAGAGUGCCAAUGUGGAGUGGAAUAAGUCAGUAUGACUUGAUCGUGGUCAAUUGAAGUGUUUAAAUGCCCCUCCAGAAAGCAGAACAAUCUUUGAAUUUGCAAGAAAGAGUAUA
This is a long non-coding RNA of Saccostrea echinata, 745 nucleotides long. RefSeq lists it as uncharacterized. NCBI's taxonomy places the organism in Eukaryota, Metazoa, Mollusca, Bivalvia, Ostreida, Ostreidae. The record is from RefSeq and is a predicted model, not a curated record. The transcript is spliced from 6 exons.